RNAcentral lists this ribosomal RNA (468 nucleotides) under uncultured bacterium. Its description in RNAcentral is "partial 16S ribosomal RNA". It matches the Rfam family "Bacterial small subunit ribosomal RNA", at positions 28 to 507 of the family's 1533-position model. The record is from RNAcentral.
GACGAACGCUGGCGGCGUGCUUAACACAUGCAAGUCGAACGGAAAGGCCCUGCUUUUGUGGGGUGCUCGAGUGGCGAACGGGUGAGUAACACGUGAGUAACCUGCCCUCGACUUUGGGAUAACUUCAGGAAACUGGGGCUAAUACCGGAUAGGAGCUCCUGCUGCAUGGUGGGGGUUGGAAAGUUUCGGCGGUUGGGGAUGGACUCGCGGCUUAUCAGCCUGUUGGUGGGGUAGUGGCUUACCAAGGCUUUGACGGGUAGCCGGCCUGAGAGGGUGACCGGCCACAUUGGGACUGAGAUACGGCCCAGACUCCUACGGGAGGCAGCAGUGGGGAAUAUUGCACAAUGGGCGGAAGCCUGAUGCAGCAACGCCGCGUGCGGGAUGACGGCCUUCGGGUUGUAAACCGCUUUCGCCUGUGACGAAGCGUGAGUGACGGUAAUGGGUAAAGAAGCACCGGCUAACUACGUG